RNAcentral lists this ribosomal RNA (279 nucleotides) under uncultured bacterium. Its description in RNAcentral is "partial 16S ribosomal RNA". It matches the Rfam family "Bacterial small subunit ribosomal RNA", at positions 506 to 784 of the family's 1533-position model. The record is from RNAcentral.
UGCCAGCCGCCGCGGUAAUACGGAGGGUGCAAGCGUUAAUCGGAAUUACUGGGCGUAAAGCGCGCGUAGGCGGCGCGUUAAGUCAGAUGUGAAAGCCCCGGGCUUAACCUGGGAAUGGCAUUUGAAACUGGCGAACUUGAGUACGGGAGAGGAAAGUGGAAUUCCGAGUGUAGGGGUGAAAUCCGUAGAUAUUCGGAGGAACACCAGUGGCGAAGGCGGCUUUCUGGGCCGAUAUUGAUGCUGAGGCGCGAAGGCGUGGGUAGCGAACGGGAUUAGAUA